Molecule: ribosomal RNA, 433 nt
Filed under: uncultured bacterium
Lineage: Bacteria
Description: partial 16S ribosomal RNA
Rfam family: Bacterial small subunit ribosomal RNA
Source: RNAcentral
AACGAACGCUGGCGGCAUGCCUAACACAUGCGAGUCGAACGAGACCUUCGGGUCUAGUGGCGCACGGGUGCGUAACGCGUGGGAACCUGCCCUUAGGUUCGGAAUAACUCCCCGAAAGGGGUGCUAAUACCGGAUAAUGUCUUCGGACCAAAGAUUUAUCGCCUUUGGAUGGGCCCGCGUUGGAUUAGCUAGUUGGUAGGGUAAAAGCCUACCAAGGCGACGAUCCAUAGCUGGUCUGAGAGGAUGAUCAGCCACACUGGGACUGAGACACGGCCCAGACUCCUACGGGAGGCAGCAGUGGGGAAUAUUGGACAAUGGGCGAAAGCCUGAUCCAGCAAUGCCGCGUGAGUGAUGGAGGCCUUAGGGUUGUAAAGCUCUUUUACCCGGGAUGAUAAUGACAGUACCGGGAGAAUAAGCUCCGGCUAACUCCGUG